AGAGGAUUUCUCCUCUCUCUCUCUCUUAAUUGCAAAUUCUGCCAUUUUCAAUGGAGAAUGGCUGAUUUGAUCUUGUUCAUAAUGAUUUUAUGCAUUUUCUUUGACAGGAUGGACGGGCGGCAUCAUCAAUUCUGGUUGGUGCUAUGUUCAUUUUCUGUAAUCUCUACUCUACUCCUGGCCCAGCCAUUCGAUUGCUAUAUGCAAAGCGACCAGGAAUUGGACUUUCACCAUCCCAUAGGAGAUACCUGGGCUAUAUGUGUGACCUACUGGCAGACAAGCCCUACCGCCCUCACUUCAAGCCUCUCACAAUUAAGUCGAUCACUGUCAGUCCAAUACCCUUUUUCAACAAACAGAGGAAUGGAUGUCGCCCUUACUGUGAUGUACUCAUUGGAGAAACCAAAAUAUAUUCGACUUGCACAGAUUUUGAACGAAUGAAAGAAUAUCGUGUCCAAGAUGGAAAAAUCUUCAUUCCCUUGAACAUCACUGUGCAAGGAGACGUGGUCGUUUCCAUGUAUCACUUGAGGUCAACCAUUGGGAGCCGGCUACAGGCUAAGGUGACCAACACACAGAUAUUCCAGCUUCAGUUUCACACUGGAUUCAUACCACUGGACACAACAGUUUU
RNAcentral lists this small RNA (622 nucleotides) under Pongo abelii (Sumatran orangutan). Its description in RNAcentral is "processed transcript". The record is from RNAcentral. Lineage: Eukaryota; Metazoa; Chordata; Mammalia; Primates; Hominidae.